AUUGAACGCUGGCGGCAGGCCUAACACAUGCAAGUCGAGCGGAUGAAGGGAGCUUGCUCCUGGAUUCAGCGGCGGACGGGUGAGUAAUGCCUAGGAAUCUGCCUGGUAGUGGGGGAUAACGUCCGGAAACGGGCGCUAAUACCGCAUACGUCCUGAGGGAGAAAGUGGGGGAUCUUCGGACCUCACGCUAUCAGAUGAGCCUAGGUCGGAUUAGCUAGUUGGUGGGGUAAAGGCCUACCAAGGCGACGAUCCGUAACUGGUCUGAGAGGAUGAUCAGUCACACUGGAACUGAGACACGGUCCAGACUCCUACGGGAGGCAGCAGUGGGGAAUAUUGGACAAUGGGCGAAAGCCUGAUCCAGCCAUGCCGCGGGUGUGAAGAAGGUCUGCGGAUUGUAAAGCACUUUAAGUUGGGAGGAAGGGCAGUAAGUUAAUACCUGGCUGUUUUGACGUUACCAACAGAAUAAGCACCGGCGAACUUCGG
Molecule: ribosomal RNA, 483 nt
Filed under: uncultured bacterium
Lineage: Bacteria
Description: partial 16S ribosomal RNA
Rfam family: Bacterial small subunit ribosomal RNA
Source: RNAcentral